RNAcentral lists this long non-coding RNA (2444 nucleotides) under Hermetia illucens (black soldier fly). Its description in RNAcentral is "uncharacterized LOC119647526". The record is from RNAcentral. Lineage: Eukaryota; Metazoa; Arthropoda; Insecta; Diptera; Stratiomyidae.
CUGUGCGGUGACAAGCAAAAUUAACUCCACUGUAUACUGUGAAAAAUUUAUCAUCUACACACAAAAAUAAAUAUUGACUACGACAUGUAAAGAAAAUCGGUGAUGACUAGAGAGACGUGAAACGUAUUGCAGCACCGCGAAGUGGAGCUAAAAGCUAGGACCUAGAGACGAGAUUAAGAAAUUUUGAACACGCGUCGCGAGAAUACUUCUGAGAUUUUUGGUGAGGUCUUUAUGUCUCGGUACGUUUGCCAGUUGGCGGCGAAGAACGGGUUGUGCUCGGCGAGAGUUGGCGCGCACGAUACUUUAACGAAAUCUUGUAUCUUUUCUUGCAAAUCUUCUAACUAGAAACGCAGAAUUCAUAGUACUACAAGAGUUACUAUCUCGAGUAAAGCGGCAUUCGGUUUUUUUAAAAAAAGUCACUACUAGUAAGUAGUACAAUCAACCGGCCAUUGAGUCCAGAACGGACAUCGUGUACCUCAAGCGCGGAGUUAAAAGGUGAACUUCGGUUAGUUCAUCGUCUCCUUCCUCGAAACCUUUAAUUAUCGCGGAUCUCGCGACGAGUCACUUAAGGAGUGUUUGUGUAGCAAAAUUUCUUCAUUUCCGCGGCACUUUUCACAUGCCUUAAACUGCUUCCGCCAAUUCAAUUUCAUUCAAAUUGGAACGUCCUUUUUCGAAUUCCUCUAACAUUCACUCCGUUCUACGCUGCCAUCUACCUGCAGGGAUAACAAGAACCGAAAGUCCUGAAUCGAAAGCUGCGUAGAAUUGGCUCGAUUUCCACCCCUUUGCAACGACCACGCAUCGCACUUUCCGCAAGCUUUCGGAAAACUCACCACUUUAGCAAUCGGGUCCACACAGUUUUGAAGUUCGAAAACAGCCCCAACUGUGUCAGGCAGCAGGGACUUUGCUACGCAUACAUUGCCAUUACUAAGAGGGUGGUGAAUACUCGCUACUAGGUGGGACAAAACAAGUUUAUCAAAAUCGGGAAAGUUGAAGCAAUUCGGUUCGGAAAAAUUAUGAAAAUUCAUAGAAAACCCCUGAGUAAACUCAAAAGUUUGUGAUUUGCCGCAAGUGUCUUCGUCCCGUGUUCCAAAUUCCUUAAGUUACUUAGCGCACAGGCUAAUGGAUGCACUACUUUAACUCAUUUCGAAUUCAUCCAAAUCCACCCACUAGCAGGAAACAUCCUCGGCAAAAUCAGAGACUAGUGAAACCAUUCGGACAGACUCUCAGUGCAAUCGAAAUUCGGAACCUAUAUCGUGAGCAGUUUUGUUGUAUCUUUUACGGUUUUGUUGCUCGUUCCCAGGGAGCCACCCCAAUCGAAAUCUAGUUCAAAAGUUAACCUUAUCAUCGGCAAAGUUGGUUGUAAAAUCACAUUACUAGUGGUGGUGCUAAUAUUGUUGCAAAAUACUAAGUGUUGAGCAAAGUUUUUGCUGAAAAGGUGCUAAUUCUUCCAAUUUACACAAAUUAAAAGAGCAAAAAAGUUGCAAGAUAUCCGCGACGCGCGUGAUUGAUUCGUAGUUUGUGACACCCUCCCUCGUGUUUUCGUUUCGUCGUUUUUUCUCGCUGCAUUUCGGUGCCUCUAGAGUUACUCCCCCACGUUCACCCCCAGGAAUUUUUAUGAGAAAAUGAGUGACAGGGAGCGAUCGUCCCCAACACUGAUCGAAUCUGGAUUAAAAAAUCUCAUUGGCGGACGAGAUAGCAAUUAUCCGCUAAUCAGUGGCAUUAAUGAACUUAUGACAAUAUUGUACAACACACAAUACCAUCUGGAUAAAUAGAGCAACCAAAAGUUCAUACCUUAGAUCGUUUCCACAUUUCGGAUUUACGGUGUCCAAGGUUGUGUCGCGCAUUUAUUAAAAUAUUUAGUGAAGAGUAUUGCCUCGUGUAGCUGACCUUGGGAGUUUUUUAUUAGGCAAUAUAUACGACAGUUUCGCGUGCUUGCUACCUUUAGGGUAAUACCCGUGGUUAUCUAGUGGGUUCCAUAGAAAUUCAGACAAGCCCAGCGAUUUUUUUGAUACUCAUAAUGAAGAGUUCAGUGUUUGUUAAUAGGAACGUAAGAUUGGAACAUUAGCACAAUUCUUAUUUGUAGAAAAAGUAGUUUUGAUAGGCAAUAAUCUACUAGCUAAACUAAACCGUUAGAUAAGAUUAUAAAAUCAGCGAACAAGUCUAUAAAGUUACAUUACUAAUUUUUAAAGUUUUAUGCAAAGCAAACACACGAUUUAUCCGGAAGCGGUUAGAGUUAUUGUCACGUAAUUUGGUAACAAAUUUGAAAUGAUAUGCGUAUUUGUAUGAGAUCAUUUUGCUCUGGUUUUGAGAGGGUCUGCUCUACAAAACUUGGAAAGUUUUACUAAACGCUUUUUUUGUAACAUUGAUUAGAAACUACUAGAAACGUGCAUAUUUUAAAGUUUAUUCAAGUUAUUACAGUUCGUGUAUAGCGCCAGAGCAAUUAU